RNAcentral lists this ribosomal RNA (466 nucleotides) under uncultured bacterium. Its description in RNAcentral is "partial 16S ribosomal RNA". It matches the Rfam family "Bacterial small subunit ribosomal RNA", at positions 28 to 507 of the family's 1533-position model. The record is from RNAcentral.
GACGAACGCUGGCGGCGCGCCUAACGCAUGCAAGUCGAACGAGCGAGAGAGAGCUUGCUUUCUCGAGCGAGUGGCGAACGGGUGAGUAACGCGUGAGGAACCUGCCUCAAAGAGGGGGACAACAGUUGGAAACGACUGCUAAUACCGCAUAAGCCCACGGUGCCGCAUGGCACAGAGGGAAAAGGAGCAAUCCGCUUUGAGAUGGCCUCGCGUCCGAUUAGCUAGUUGGUGAGGUAAUGGCCCACCAAGGCGACGAUCGGUAGCCGGACUGAGAGGUUGAACGGCCACAUUGGGACUGAGACACGGCCCAGACUCCUACGGGAGGCAGCAGUGGGGAAUAUUGCACAAUGGGGGAAACCCUGAUGCAGCGACGCCGCGUGGAGGAAGAAGGUCUUCGGAUUGUAAACUCCUGUUGUUGGGGAAGAUAAUGACGGUACCCAACAAGGAAGUGACGGCUAACUACGUA